CCUACGGGUGGCAGCAGUGGGGAAUAUUGCACAAUGGGGGAAACCCUGAUGCAGCGACGCCGCGUGAGUGAAGAAGUAAUUCGUUACGUAAAGCUCUAUCAGCAGGGAAGAAACACUGACCUUACGGUCAGCAGACGGUACCUGAGUAAGAAGCACCGGCUAACUACGUGCCAGCAGCCGCGGUAAUACGGAGGGGGCAAGCGUUAUCCGGAUUUACUGGGUGUAACGGGAGCGUAGACGGUGCGCCAAGUCUGGAGGGAAAUGCCGCGGCUUAACUGCGGAACUGCUUUGGAAACUGGCGAACUAGAGUGCGGGAGGGGUAAGCGGAAUGCCUAGUGUAGCGGUGAAAUGCGUAGAGAUUAGGAGGAACACCGGUGGCGAAGGCGGCUUACUGGACCGUAACUGACGUUGAGGCUCGAAAGCGUGGGGAGCAAACAGGAUUAGAUACCCCUGUAGUC
RNAcentral lists this ribosomal RNA (458 nucleotides) under uncultured bacterium. RNAcentral describes it as "partial 16S ribosomal RNA". It matches the Rfam family "Bacterial small subunit ribosomal RNA", at positions 338 to 795 of the family's 1533-position model. The record is from RNAcentral.